Xenopus tropicalis (tropical clawed frog) is the source of this 191-nucleotide long non-coding RNA. RefSeq lists it as uncharacterized. The transcript has 5 exons. The record is from RefSeq and is a predicted model, not a curated record. NCBI's taxonomy places the organism in Eukaryota, Metazoa, Chordata, Amphibia, Anura, Pipidae.
AGAAACAACCAGAUGAACAAACUGAAACAGUUAUUGUGAAUCAACCAGUUUCAACAACUGAUGAAAUUAUUGUGGCUCAACUAGAGAAGACCACAGAUAAAAUCUGCCUGGAAACCAUCGCAGUGUGCGAGGAACCUCCCCAAGAGAUCGGAGAGGAAACCACGGCAGUGCGUGAGGAACCUCCCCAAGAG